RNAcentral lists this ribosomal RNA (495 nucleotides) under uncultured bacterium. RNAcentral's name for it is "partial 16S ribosomal RNA". It matches the Rfam family "Bacterial small subunit ribosomal RNA", at positions 28 to 507 of the family's 1533-position model. The record is from RNAcentral.
GAUGAACGCUGGCGGCGUGCCUAAUACAUGCAAGUAGAACGCUGAAGGAGGAGCUUGCUCUUCUGGAUGAGUUGCGAACGGGUGAGUAACGCGUAGGUAACCUGCCUGGUAGCGGGGGAUAACUAUUGGAAACGAUAGCUAAUACCGCAUGACAACAGUUAUUGCAUGAUAACUGUUUAAAAGGGGCAACUGCUCCACUACCAGAUGGACCUGCGUUGUAUUAGCUAGUUGGUGAGGUAACGGCUCACCAAGGCGACGAUACAUAGCCGACCUGAGAGGGUGGUCGGCCACACUGGGACUGAGACACGGCCCAGACGCCUACGGGAGGCAGCAGUAGGGAAUCUUCGGCAAUGGACGGAAGUCUGACCGAGCAACGCCGCGUGAGUGAAGAAGGUUGUCGGAUCGUAAAGCUCUGUUGUAAGGGAAGAACGAGUGUGAGAGUGGAAAGUUCACACUGUGACGGUAUCUUACCAGAAAGGGACGGCUAACUACGUG